AUGGCGAACCACCCAUUCGCCUCCGCCUCAGCCGGGGCGACCUCGAGGUGCGCGGGCGCGGCUCCCAGCACCGGCAAGCUCACCUGCCUCUGCUCGCCGACCAACCACCCGGGCUCCUUCCGCUGCACCCGCCACCGCAACCCGCGGGGGCGACCACAGACGUCGUCGGCCGGCCGCGCGUCGCAGCAGCCUGCUGCACCGGGAGCCAGCGCGACGGUGCGCGUCGAGGGAAUCAUCAGGAGCGGCGCCGGCGGCAGGGCAACCACCAAGGGCCGGUCCGUCCUGCGCGCGCACCUGCUGCGGCUGGUGAGCGCGCCAUCCUCCGCCGGCCGCGACCACCGCCGCUGCCGCGACUUCAUGCCCCGCCCGUCAAGGCUGGGCCGACCCGCGGUGACCGCGUGA
This 402-nucleotide ribosomal RNA is filed under the name Triticum aestivum (bread wheat). RNAcentral describes it as "partial small subunit ribosomal RNA". Lineage: Eukaryota; Viridiplantae; Streptophyta; Magnoliopsida; Poales; Poaceae. The record is from RNAcentral.